GGAAAAAAAUAUCUCCUUUCAUAUCCUUUUUUUUUAUCGAAAACUGUUCUUCUCUUAUAUCCUGAAAUCGGAAAGGGUCAAGUUAAAUCGAGACAAUCUUUUCUUUUUGGUGAUCAUAACUCUUCUUUGUCAUUCUAACCCAGAUUAUUCUACAAUUAUUAGAAAUAAUCGCCAAUAUUCUUCUUCCUUUCUCCAAAUAGUUCCCUUUUUACAUCGACAAUCUCUUCUUUCCGACAAACUAUGAAGUAAUUAGCCUUCCGACAGCGAUCUAUGGGUUAAUUCAAUUGACAAUUGAUUUCAUUUGCUGUGAGUAUUCAUUACGAUUGUCUUCUGCGCGAGUGAGGCAAUCGUCUCCUCUAUCUCUUCGUUGAAAAGAUAAUAUCCACAACCUUGCAGAAAUUUAUACGAAGACUAUAUUUCAAAAGGAAAAUACAUUGGACUAUGAUGCUUACGGAUUACUACAUUUUUAAUGGUUCAUGAAAAUGACAGAUUUAUGGCGUUAUUAACAGUCUCACAAGUGGAAGGAAUAUGCUGGAUCCAAUGAAUUCGACUCUAAGGAACGACAUUACCAAUAGGUUUGCAGUGGAGAUAUAGGAUCGUGUGAAACAGAAGUUGGGAGUUCCACGUAUGAUUACUUUCUUUAGAAAUGUUUGGGUCGAAUCCACCGUUUCUAUUAGGUUCGUGAAAGCAGUUUAUUAUACGUCAAAUGUGGGUCUUAUUUGUCAGUGGCAUUUUGUGUAAAUAGCCUAGUAAAGCAAGGGGAAUUAACAUAUUAGGCUGAGAAGCAUUCUAAAGCUGCCACAUCAGCAUGGCAUGCCUGUAAAUAUGUUACACUUUAAAGGUUACUCCUUUAAAAUGUUUCUCUCUUAAUAAUAAGGGGA
Long non-coding RNA from Brassica oleracea var. oleracea, 881 nucleotides. RefSeq lists it as uncharacterized. The record is from RefSeq and is a predicted model, not a curated record. NCBI's taxonomy places the organism in Eukaryota, Viridiplantae, Streptophyta, Magnoliopsida, Brassicales, Brassicaceae. The transcript has 4 exons.